UAUGUGAUCGUCUCUCGCAUAUCAAUAAGCGGAGGAAAAGAAACUAACAAGGAUUCCCCUAGUAACGGCGAGUGAAGCGGGAAGAGCUCAAAUUUGAAAUCUUAAAGGGUUUCCCUUUACGAAUUGUAGUUUAAGGAAGUGUUUUCUGUUGAGGUUUUGGUAAAAGUUCUUUGGAAUAGGACAUCAUAGAGGGUGAGAAUCCCGUAUUUGACCUUUACUUUCAACUUUGUGAUACACUUUCAAAGGGUCGGAUUGUUUGGGAAUGCAGUCCAAAAUGGGUGGUAAACUUCAUCUAAAGCUAAAUAUUGGCGAGAGACCGAUAGCGAACAAGUACCGUGAGGGAAGGAUGAAAAGAACUUUGAAAAGAGAGUUAAACAGCUACGUGAAAUUGUCAAAAGGGAAGCGUUUGACACCAGUGUUGUUUUUCUGAAAAUCAAUUAAAGGACUGUUUAUGCUAAGUUGUUUAGACUUUAUCAGCUAACUGUUUAGUUUUGAGCUUUUCUUUAAUGCACUUUCCAGUUAACAAGUCAACAUCAAUUUCUUUUGCUGUAAAAAAGCUUGAGGAAGGUGGCUUGAGAUUCGUCUUAAGUGUUUAUAGCCUCUUGCCUAUGCAGUCGGAGAGAUUGAGGUCUGCAGCGUAGAUCCUUCGGGGCUAAAUGCAUUUGUGCUAAGUUAUAGCAUUUUAUAGACAACUUGUUGACUAUGAUUUGUCUUGUAGCUUACUCGCUUAUGUUAUUUUACCUACGCUUAGGAUGUUGAAGAUAUGCGCGACACG
Molecule: ribosomal RNA, 775 nt
Filed under: uncultured Neocallimastigales
Lineage: Eukaryota; Fungi; Neocallimastigomycota; Neocallimastigomycetes; Neocallimastigales
Description: partial large subunit ribosomal RNA
Rfam family: Eukaryotic large subunit ribosomal RNA
Source: RNAcentral